GAGUGGCGGACGGGUGAGUAACGCGUGGGUAACCUGCCUCAUACAGGGGGAUAACAGUUAGAAAUGGCUGCUAAUACCGCAUAAGCGCACGGUACCGCAUGGUACAGUGUGAAAAACUCCGGUGGUAUGAGAUGGACCCGCGUUGGAUUAGCUAGUUGGCAGGGUAACGGCCUACCAAGGCGACGAUCCAUAGCCGGCCUGAGAGGGUGGACGGCCACAUUGGGACUGAGACACGGCCCAGACUCCUACGGGAGGCAGCAGUGGGGAAUAUUGCACAAUGGGGGAAACCCUGAUGCAGCGACGCCGCGUGGAGGAAGAAGGUCUUCGGAAUUGUAAACUCCUGUUGUUGAGGAAGAUAAUGACGGUACUCAACAAGGAAGUGACGGCUAACUUAGGUGCCAGCCGCCGCGGGUAAAACGUAGGUCACAAGCGUUGUCCGGAAAUUACUGGGGGUAAAAGGGAGCGCCGGGCGGGAAGGACAAGUUGGAAAGUGAAAUCUAAUGGGCUCAACCCCAUAAACUGCUUUCAAAACUGUUUUUCUUGAGUAGUGCAGAGGUAGGCGGAAUUCCCGGUGUAGCGGUGGAAUGCGUAGAUAUCGGGAGGAACACCAGUGGCGAAGGCGGCCUACUGGGCACCAACUGACGCUGAGGCUCGAAAGUGUGGGUAGCAAACAGGAUUAGAUACCCUGGUAGUCCACACUGUAAACGAUGAUUACUAGGUGUUGGAGGAUUGACCCCUUCAGUGCCGCAGUUAACACAAUAAGUAAUCCACCUGGGGAGUACGACCGCAAGGUUGAAACUCAAAGGAAUUGACGGGGGCCCGCACAAGCAGUGGAGUAUGUGGUUUAAUUCGACGCAACGCGAAGAACCUUACCAAGUCUUGACAUCCUGCGACGCACAUAGAAAUAUGUGUUUCCUUCGGGACGCAGAGACAGGUGGUGCAUGGUUGUCGUCAGCUCGUGUCGUGAGAUGUUGGGUUAAGUCCCGCAACGAGCGCAACCCUUACUGUCAGUUACUACGCAAGAGGACUCUGGCAGGACUGCCGUUGACAAAUCGGAGGAAGGUGGGGAUGACGUCAAAUCAUCAUGCCCUUUAUGACUUGGGCUACACACGUACUACAAUGGCGUUAAACAAAGAGAAGCAAGACCGCGAGGUGGAGCAAAACUCAGAAACAACGUCCCAGUUCGGACUGCAGGCUGCAACUCGCCUGCACGAAGUCGGAAUUGCUAGUAAUCGUGGAUCAGCAUGCCACGGUGAAUACGUUCCCGGGCCUUGCACACACCGCCCGUCA
Molecule: ribosomal RNA, 1290 nt
Filed under: uncultured bacterium
Lineage: Bacteria
Description: bacterial SSU rRNA
Rfam family: Bacterial small subunit ribosomal RNA
Source: RNAcentral